CGGGCGCUCCUAGCGUCCCUCGCGCGCCCCCCCAACCUACCUCCGGCUCAGGAACGUGAAGCUGUCACUUGUGUUGCUGUGCCUCCGUCUCAUUCACAGAUUUUAAUUUGGUCUCAGGCCGCUGGCACAAACAGGCACCCAUUGACCACAACAUGCAGGCAGUGGGGGGACGGGGGGGGUUCCUGGUGUUAAGUGUACGCUGGCCGCUGCUUGCGUCCGUCUGGGGGUGUCUGUGGAUACCGUUGUGAUUGUGGCAUAUCUUUUGAACAAGAUACAUUAGAUUUUUGUUUGUUUUUUAUUGAACGCUCUGAUUUAUUAUUUUAUGACUCGUUCCAGAAAAUUAAAGGUGCUACUUGUAGGAUGUUGGCGUAAAACUGAUUCUGGUUUCUCUUUUUUUGCUAGAAAUCGAACCAUGUGAUCAGUACUGUUGUUGUUUUUUGACUGAAACUACUUUUGCUAUUUCAUUUGUUUUGUCGAUAGCCUAUACAUUUUCUGCAUCCUCUUUGUAGCAUCUUUAACUUCCACUCUCUUUGAUAUUUAUUUCAACAUGCUUGUGACAAACCUAAAGUUUACCACCACAGCAAUAACGGUCAUCGGAUGUUCAUUUUUAAAAAGUUUUUUUAUACCUGAUGCUUGCUUUGGCAAACGUACGCAGUGAGCAAAGAUGAUAAUUCUUCUAGUGGUCCUGCGGGGGACUUCAUAUGUUCUUACUUGCAGGGUUCCUGCAUCUGCUGCCACACACAUUUUCAGCAAUUUAUAUUAGCAGCCACGUUAACUUUUAGAGAACAGACCAGGCUGGUGUGAUAUUUUAGUGUCUCAAAGUUUCAGAAUGCCAAAAUCCCAAAAUGUCAUUUCAGGUUUGUAAUUGAGGUGUGAAGAGAGACUCAACUCCAGGAGCAGAUACGUUCCCAGAGAUCGCAUAUUUGAAUGAUUGGUGCGUUCAUCUCCACCCAAUAAUACUUUUCUCGAUGCCAGUAUAGAAAUGGAGAUGUGCAUACUAUGAUGACGCACCAGUGGCCUCAAUAUGCCUUACCUGUGGCUUCUGACUGCUUUCAUUUUUCGCCAGGUCCUGGAUGGUUACUAGGGACAUUGUUGCAGUGAAUGUUUAUGCAGGUAACUGAACCUUUCAUCUCUUAAAACGGCACAUUUAUAGAAGCCGUUCCUUUUGUGCAUUUCAUGGUUUCUUGUUUUUACGUCCAAGUCUUAUUAUUGAGAAGUGUGUGUGUGUGUGUGUGUACGUACUACUGUAAGAUCAUUAACUCAUCAAACACUGCCACAUAAACAUCAAUUUAUGUGAAAUUUAAACUGUAUGAGCAUAUUAAUGUCUUUUUAUGGCAGAACGCUGAUUCUUUCAGUCUGUUGGCUUGUCAUUAUUGUUCUUACUGGUUUAUUUGAGAGGUGUCUCUCAGAUAAACCGUUAUUCUCUCCGGCUAUACCGUCUUCAAAAGUGCAUCUCUGCUAAGGUGUUUAAGAACAAGUCGUAGAUGCUAUAAAUUCGUCCUAAGCCAAGUACUUUUUUGUCGGAAUACUUAAAUAGGAGCUUGAUUGAACUUCAUUCAAAUUCUCUUUAAUUAUCAGUUUGAAAAAAAAGAUGCUAGAUUUGAAUGAAUUUCUUUCUCUAUUCUGCAAUAUUUAAACCAAAUAUUAUGAACAAUUACGAUGUAUUUUUUGUCAUAUUACCCAAUCAAAGAUAUAGUAAGAUAACUGUGUUACCCUUUGUUAACAUUUCAAAAAGCAGUGUUAUUUUUUAUUAAUUUAUUGCAAUAUGAAGUGUUCAAAGAUUGCACAUCUAAGUCUGUACUAUCGAAUCAAAUAUUUAUUGAAUUAUUAAAAUGAUCUUUACACAAUAUAAUUGUGUUUUGAGAAUCAGCUGUAAAGAGUGAAUCUUCCAUCUGGGAACCAUCAAAUGGUUUAAUAGCCUUUUGUGAAAGCACGACUAGAAAAUGGAUUCAGAAAUGAUGAACACAUUUUCUGGGAUUCCUCCAAUCUUUGGAGUUUAUCGGCAGUUAUGGAUUCAGCUUGAAAAUAGACUCUUUUGGGUUCUUUUAUUUUCUCCAAACAAAGGAGCAUAAAACCUACAGCGAACGUCGAUGAGACAGAACAAGACAUUUGUCUCCAUAGCCUAAAAGAAAGUUCACACUGGCACUUCAGUGUGUUUAUGAAUCCACAAACAAACUGUCCAUGUCGGGUCGGACAGAACCAGAGUGAACUUCAGUGCCACCAGGUGGGAAGAUUCAAAUAUAGCUGCUAAACUAGGGUCCCGUUCUUCAACAAUCUUAGGAGUUUUACUUUUAAUUCGAUAGUAAUUCCAUAUAACCUAGUUGAAUGGGUUGACUAAUAGUGAUAUAAUACAUAUCUCUGCAAUAAAGAACCACCAAAUGUUUUCAAAUCUAAGUGCUGAAAAAAUACCAAUAAAAAAAAAUCACCUGCACCAUUUCUGCCGUGUACAUCAUGUUAGGUUCACGGUUGUGUCACUGUGCGGUUUAAGGGCAGAUGGUUACAGCUGCUGCCGUGUUGAUGGACCACAAUGCAUUUCGACUGCAACGCUCUGAUUUAUUGUGAUGUGUAAAGUCAGCUGGUACAGAGUCGGAAAAGGGAAAAUGUUCUUCAAAAUAAAACAAUUUUCUCAACGAUACAAGUUGGACUUAAUUAUAUAUAAUGUUGUAAGUACAUAUGAGGCGU
Gasterosteus aculeatus aculeatus (three-spined stickleback) is the source of this 2682-nucleotide long non-coding RNA. The record is from Ensembl. Lineage: Eukaryota; Metazoa; Chordata; Actinopteri; Perciformes; Gasterosteidae.